RNAcentral lists this ribosomal RNA (386 nucleotides) under uncultured bacterium. RNAcentral describes it as "bacterial SSU rRNA". It matches the Rfam family "Bacterial small subunit ribosomal RNA", at positions 425 to 793 of the family's 1533-position model. The record is from RNAcentral.
GUAAAGCACUUUCAGUAGGGAGGAAGGUAGUGUAGUUAACACCUGCAUUAUUUGACGUUACCUACAGAAGAAGCACCGGCUAACUCCGUGCCAGCAGCCGCGGUAAUACGGAGGGGUGCGAGCGUUAAUCGGAAUUACUGGGCGUAAAGCGCAUGCAGGCGGCCUGUUAAGUCAGAUGUGAAAGCCCGGGGCUUAACCUCGGAAUUGCAUUUGAAACUGGCAGGCUAGAGUCUUGUAGAGGGGGGUAGGAAUUUCAGGUGUAGCGGUGAAAUAGCGUAGAGAUCUGAAGGAAUACCAGUGGCGAAGGCGGCCCCCUGGACAAAGACUGACGCUCAGAUGCGAAAGCGUCGGGGAGCCCAAACAGGAUUACGUAUACCCCUCGGUAG